Molecule: non-coding RNA, 302 nt
Filed under: Photobacterium halotolerans
Lineage: Bacteria; Pseudomonadati; Pseudomonadota; Gammaproteobacteria; Vibrionales; Vibrionaceae
Source: RNAcentral
GCUAAGGACAGUUCAGGACAUGGCGGGAUGCCGGCUGCAGUAUACAGGAUGACACUGCUCAGGAAGAGACAGGGAUACUUUCAGAACGAAAGCAGGGACACCGCCAGGAAGGUCGAAGAGAGUUAUUUCAGGAUGAAGUAACGGAUCAGGAGAUCAACGGACACGUUCAGGAUGAGCGUUCAAUGGAAAAUCGCCGACGGAUUCCGGCGCAUCAAAGGAUUGAGGCAGGGAGCCUAUGUGUAGCAGGAUUGCUGCAAGUAAGACCUAAGGGCGCAACGAAAGUUGCGCCCGUUUUAUUUUGU